RNA transcript from Acipenser ruthenus (sterlet), 2715 nucleotides. RefSeq lists it as uncharacterized. The transcript is spliced from 2 exons. The record is from RefSeq and is a predicted model, not a curated record. NCBI's taxonomy places the organism in Eukaryota, Metazoa, Chordata, Actinopteri, Acipenseriformes, Acipenseridae.
CAAUAGGGUUUGGAGGGGGUUUUCCAUAGUAACGAUUACAAAAAGGAGCCAGUGCCAUGAAGACAAGAGCAGGGCUGUAAAAACAAGUCUCUCCCAAGGUAAAAAUCUUUGUUCAGCAAGUUUGCAUGCGAUAAGAGUUUGAGAAAAGCUUGCAGAAGCAGAAUCAAAGGGACCAUAGAUUUUAAAAGAUUCAUCACAUCAACAGUGGCACAUCCUGGAUUGCCGUACAGGCAAGUUACCCAGUAAUACACUUCAGGAUCUGAACUUUCUCUCUGACUUUUCUCGCUGUUUUGUUAGUGUGAACAAUGAAUUCUGAGACUCAGUAUGAAGACUCUGUUUCUACACUGGUGUUAGAGAACAUCAAAAAUAAACUGAUCAACGCUUUCAGAGAAUCUGGACAGCAUGCAGCUGCUUCUUGUAGUAGUAACAAUUCUUAUAGUUUAGUUACAAAGGACAUCCAAGCAAAUGAGGAGCUCAGGAGAGCUAAAAUAGAUGGAGCAAUAACCUGGCUACGGACAGAAUUGCUGGAGAUGCGAUCCCAGGACAGACAGCUUGCUAAAACAUUACUGGACUUAAACACAGAGAUACAGAGACUAAGACGAGAACAUGAAUCAUCUAAUUCAGACAAGAAACCAAAAGCUAAUAACAAUGACCCUGAAACAUCUUUCCAUGGCGGUGGAACAGAUGAGGAUCAGUCUUUUAUUCAGAUGAACUGAAAAAACAGAUGCUCUCAAGCACUUGAGUUUUUAUUUUUUCAGCUGAGUGAUCUUUUCCAAAUGUUAUCUCACAAUGGACUACCAACUGUAAAACUUGCACAAAAGCAAGCGUUUUCAUUCUUCUCUAAAUCUGCCCUUGAGCUUGUCUAAAGAAUCCUAAAUGCCAGGACUGAACAGCCUUCCUCAAUGUGACGUUUCAACUCUGCCAGCCCAAGCUAUGCAUCUGUAUUAAUAGAGGUCAAAACAAGCUCAAAGUCAGGUAAAUGCAGAUGUAGUGAAAAAUGAUAAGAACAAAUUACAGAAACAAAACCCAUAACCACUUACUUACAAUACCAUAAGAUAGUAAAGGAAAUAUCAAAUUAAAUUUAAAUGAUUUUUUUAAAUCUACACAUUCUUUAAGAAUAAUGACUGCUCUCUCUUCUGAUUUCUUGCAAGUUUUAAACUGUUACAACAGUUUUACUCUUAGAAAUGUUGCCUUCAAAUGAAGGCCCUUUGGGGAAAUUCACAAAGCCAUUGUAAUAUUUAUUUUUUUCCUCUCAGACAGUAAAUGGCUUUUUUAAUAAUUGCAGAUUAGAAACUUAAAGUUGAAUACAUAGCUUUUUGUUUACAUGUGUUAUGUGAAAAACGGUGGCAUAUUGCUGUCACUGCUCUUUUUGUAUUAUUUAUGGUAUGGAAAAAAUUAGGGUUUACAAAAUUCUGUGGCCUAUCUUAAUAUAUAAAGAAGAAAGUUUGUCUGUCUGUCUGUUCCUUUAUGCAUUUGGACCCCGCAGGAGCCAGUGCAACCAAACUUUGCAUGGCCUCCUCUUUCAUUAUUAUUAUUCAUUUGUUAGCAGACGCCCUUAUCCAGGGCGACUUACAAUUGUUACAAGAUAUCACAUUAUUUUUACACAUUAUUUUUUUUUUAACAUACAAUUACCCAUUUAUACAGUUGGGUUUUUACUGGAGCAAUCUAGGUAAAGUACCUUGCUCAAGGGUACAGCAGCAAUGUUCCCUACCUGGGAUUGAACCCACAACUCUCCAGUCAAGAGUCCAGAGCCCUAACCACAACUCCACACUGCUGCCCCUAAUUACAUUUCAUCCAAAAUUUUGAACCCUGGGGUACUUUAUAUAAUAACCACAUUGCUUGAUCACUACAGUAGCCAUGUACAGUAUCUCAAAUUAAAGAAACCCACAAAACAAAAAAAAUAAAUAAAAAGAACAAACAUCUUAAAAAAAUUAAAAAUGGCAAAAACUGAAAAACAGUUAAAAAAAAAGAAAAGGAGUCCGAGCGUACUGUGCGACACCCAAGAUCGGUAACUUAUAGGAAACCAUAAGGCUACCUUUCCCCAAUUUGUCAUACAUGAAACUUUGAAAUACUGAAUACCAGGCAAUGCCGGGUACUUCAGCUAGUACAGUAUAUUUAAACAUUUAGUUCAUAGGCCAAAUGCACCCUCAUCCUUUUAACAAAUAGGUCUUGAAAUGACUUAUUUUAUGAAAAAAAUAACAAGCAAAAGCAAGCAGUGACGGCAGCAUAUGAAUCUAUUACAGUUCAGAGACGAUCUAUAUUGUUGUUACUGUACAUCAACAGUGUGGUUGAAAUACUGUAAGUGGAGAGCAAGUGCUCCUUCAGACAAAAUAAAAUCUUGCCACUGUCUUAAAACAAUUGUCAGAGAUUGUUUUUUCUGUUUUCCUGUCAGCUAAAUUUAUCAUACACAGUUGCUACUUUAUACAAACAAAGCAUGUCAAAUAUAAAGUCUGUCUUAAUAAAAUAAACAAAUAUAAUUUAGGUUUAAUGUUUUUAACAUUUUUUAAAACCUUAUAGACGAUGGAAUUCUAUGUAAAACUGUGUGGUAACUACCAGUACUAAAGAUUACAUUUUACUCAAAAAGAAAGAAAACCUGCACAUGUAUUCCCCUAUUUAUGAAUUGUUUCUGAUGGACAGUAGUAUUAGUGCUGCACUAUUGACAUGUACCUGUGCUGGCCCUGUGGGCACAAAGUGAAUAAACUAAACUAAACUUAA